UUAAAUUGAAGAGUUUGAUCAUGGCUCAGAUUGAACGCUGGCGGCAGGCCUAACACAUGCAAGUCGAACGGUAACAGGAAGCAGCWUGCUGCUUUG
RNAcentral lists this ribosomal RNA (96 nucleotides) under Salmonella enterica subsp. enterica serovar Worthington str. BCH-4719. RNAcentral's name for it is "partial 16S ribosomal RNA". Lineage: Bacteria; Pseudomonadati; Pseudomonadota; Gammaproteobacteria; Enterobacterales; Enterobacteriaceae. The record is from RNAcentral.